Molecule: long non-coding RNA, 906 nt
Organism: Motacilla alba alba
Lineage: Eukaryota; Metazoa; Chordata; Aves; Passeriformes; Motacillidae
Exons: 3
Source: RefSeq, a predicted model, not a curated record
UUUCCAGAAACAGAUCUUUGCUUUUAACAUUUGCAGGUGUGUGCCCUCCACAGGGAAAAGCCUUCAAAGGCUAUUCCUGUCCUUGGAAAUAGAGCUGGGGAGACGUUCAUGUCUGGGGGGAUUGGACUAAUCCUCAUUCGCUGCUGCCAAGGAUGCUCAAAAUAUCCCGUGUCUCCGUGCUCCAGAGACGCUGCGGAGCGGGGAUCGGGGGCGAAGCUGGGCUCCGUCCGCAGGGGAUUUGCGGUGCCUCCGCCGGCAGCCGCUCGCCGGGCGUCAUCGCUGACGUGCGCGCAUGAGAGAGAGAUGCUCCUGCCCGCAUGAGAGAGAGAUGCUCCUGCCCGCGCCGAGGGGACCGCUCGGCCUGCAGGGACAGGAGCGGCCGAGGGGACAGCGGGGCCUCCCCAGGAACAUGGAAUAACCCCCCUGUCUGUCAGGGCAAAGGCUCCCUGCUCCGGCCAUGGAGCCCAAACAGCCCAAACCCAGAGCAUCAUCUCCAGCAACACACAGCCUGAGAUGGUGACAUGGAAGUGGCAGCACAGCGCACUUUGGUGCUCGCUUGCCAAUGCUGAGAUUUGACUCCUUCCCCCAGGAUCAGAGGGUGUGGGUGAGCCUCUGGGGAAAGUCCCACUGUCAGCAGCCUGGGUCCUGCAGCUAACCUGGAAUCUUGAAGGUGGGAACUGGGGGGAAAGCCAGAGCAUCCUGCACAGGGUACUAAGGACCCAAGGAAGCUCCACACCUGCUGAUGGCCCAUGUGGAUGGGGCGCUCAGCCAUGUGCCAAGGACACACUCCAGCUGUGCUGAGGGGCAGGACUGGAGAGAAAGAAGGUAUGGGAACCAGUGGCACUGCAUUGCUGCCAGGCCAGUGCCACUGCAGAGGGAUGGGUCUCUGAGAAUGAGGGAGCUGCC